RNAcentral lists this ribosomal RNA (450 nucleotides) under uncultured Alteromonadaceae bacterium. RNAcentral describes it as "bacterial SSU rRNA". It matches the Rfam family "Bacterial small subunit ribosomal RNA", at positions 1074 to 1532 of the family's 1533-position model. Lineage: Bacteria; Pseudomonadati; Pseudomonadota; Gammaproteobacteria; Alteromonadales; Alteromonadaceae. The record is from RNAcentral.
GUGGGNAUCCGCACGAGCGCACCCUUGUCCUUAGUUACCAGCAUUAAGUUGGGUACUUUAAGGAGACUGCCGGUGACAAACCGGAGGAAGGUGGGGACGACGUCAAGUCAUCAUGGCCCUUACGUGUAGGGCUACACACGUGCUACAAUGGCAUAUACAGAGGGAAGCGAGACAGCAAUGUGGAGCGGACCCCUUAAAGUAUGUCGUAGUCCGGAUCGGAGUCUGCAACUCGACUCCGUGAAGUCGGAAUCGCUAGUAAUCGCAGGUCAGAGUACUGCGGUGAAUACGUUCCCGGGCCUUGUACACACCGCCCGUCACACCAUGGGAGUGGGAUGCAAAAGAAGUGGCUAGUUUAACCUUCGGGAGAACGGUCACCACUUUGUGUUUCAUGACUGGGGUGAAGUCGUAACAAGGUAACCCUAGGGGAACCUGGGGUUGGAUCACCUCCUU